This is a long non-coding RNA of Salmo salar (Atlantic salmon), 454 nucleotides long. RefSeq lists it as uncharacterized. Lineage: Eukaryota; Metazoa; Chordata; Actinopteri; Salmoniformes; Salmonidae. The record is from RefSeq and is a predicted model, not a curated record.
CUGGUGCUUAAAGCUAGUGUGGGAGAUAAGUGUUUCCAGUUUCAGAUAUUUUUGUAGUUCGUUCCAGUCAUUGGCAGCAGAGAACUGGAAGGAGUGGUGGCCAAAGGAGGAAUUGGCUACCUUGAAUUUCUACCUUGAAGUAGAGCCGUGGCUUUCGUGGAGCGAUGGGUAAUACUGCUUCGAGGGUGGCUGUUGUCAAUGUGUGCAGAGGGUCCCUGGGGCGAGGAGAGGGACGGAAGCAAACCAUUUUAAUCAGGAGAAUCUCCUCUUUGUAAUCAUAGAGCGAGCUGAUCAAGGGGUCGAAAAUGUAGAUAUUGCCAGAUGUUCACUGUCCGAGGAUCAGGCCGUGGAAGCUUUUUUGCUGGCAAAGUGUCCAUAACCAGAGGUUAUACCAGCUGUUUUGGUGAACCCCUCCCGCCUCUGAACUGGCUGACACAGAGGCCACAGCAUGUCA